UCGAGAAUCUUUCGCAAUGGGCGCAAGCCUGACGAAGCGACGCCGUGUGAGCGAAGAAGGCCUUCGGGUUGUAAAGCUCUUUCGCUAGGGAACAAGAGAUAUGGGACAAUACCCCAUAAAUUUGAUGGUACUUGGUAAAGAAGCACCGGCUAACUCCGUGCCAGCAGCUGCGGUAAUACGGAGGGUGCAAGCAUUGAUCGGAAUUACUGGGCGUAAAGGGCGCGUAGGCGGCUCGAUAAGUCGGAUGUGAAAUUCCGGGGGCUCAACCCCGGAGCGGCAUUUGAAACUGUCGAACUAGAGUACAGUUAGGGUAAACGGAAUUCCACGUGUAGCGGUGAAAUGCGUAGAUAUGUGGAAGAACACCGGUGGUGAAGACGGUUUACUGGGCUGUAACUGACGCUGAGGCGCGAAAGCAUGGGGAGCAAACAGGAUUAGAUACCCCAGUAGUCCCUGAGCGGGCUGGCAAGGCGCAU
This 473-nucleotide ribosomal RNA is filed under the name uncultured bacterium. RNAcentral's name for it is "bacterial SSU rRNA". It matches the Rfam family "Bacterial small subunit ribosomal RNA", at positions 355 to 825 of the family's 1533-position model. The record is from RNAcentral.